This 115-nucleotide ribosomal RNA is filed under the name Salmonella enterica. RNAcentral's name for it is "partial 23S ribosomal RNA". The stretch from base 1 to 95 matches the Rfam family "Bacterial large subunit ribosomal RNA", at positions 2831 to 2925 of the family's 2925-position model. The record is from RNAcentral. RNAcentral also lists the same sequence under 1 other name. Lineage: Bacteria; Pseudomonadati; Pseudomonadota; Gammaproteobacteria; Enterobacterales; Enterobacteriaceae.
AGGAACGUUGAAGACGACGACGUUGAUAGGCCGGGUGUGUAAGCGCAGCGAUGCGUUGAGCUAACCGGUACUAAUGAACCGUGAGGCUUAACCUUACAACGCCGAAGCUGUUUGG